Molecule: long non-coding RNA, 1840 nt
Filed under: Hordeum vulgare
Lineage: Eukaryota; Viridiplantae; Streptophyta; Magnoliopsida; Poales; Poaceae
Description: long non-coding RNA (HVUL_LNC002209)
Source: RNAcentral
CAAAAGGAGCAAAAAGUUGGAGGUAAAUCAUGUGGUAAGUACGCACCUGAAAAUCACUUGAAUUUUAUGACACUAUCUGCUUGGUUUACAACGAACAGUACUGUAAAAAAUAGGGAAUAAGAAAUUAACCAUAUUUGAAUGGGUGGCUGUACAAGAUAGGAAAAUAGGUUAAAUGUGAACAAAAUCAACGUCUUAAACAUUAAGAAUCUCAAGCAAAAUAAUUGUGUGGAUCUUCUUUACGGCAUCCAUGGCUAUAGAAUAAAUUCAAUUGAUCGAGGCUAGCUAGAAUCGCAUGAUUUUACUCGCCCAAAAUAGCAGAUUCCCAUCUAGUUUAUGCUACAGAAAACAAACAAGCAAUUAGUUGAAUGAAAAUCAAAAUUUCAUAUUUACGAGAUUACUCCUGGAUUGCUUGGGAGUUAAACCAAAAAACUAGAUGAGGGCCCAUGUCCACCUUAUGGCAAUUGACAUAAAUCUAACUCAAAAUUGCAGCUUACGUGAAUAUUGACAGGCUGGGAGAGUGUGAGUGUCCGCGAGUGUAAGGUUUCCAAACACCAAGGUACGUAAAGCUAGCAUACCGUACGGAGUCAGCCCACAUUCCCUAGCUGAUGUAGAAACUUUGAGAGAUAGUAGGAGAUAUGGGUCCAACAUUAAAUAGGAGCAUUUCCAACGAAUACAUUUUCCAAACCUGAACGCGAUGUAGAUUGUAUCACUUGUUUUGAUCGACGUAAAAUUGGAGAAUGCCCAGCUAUAUCAUUCUGUCCACUGUGUAUGAAUAGACCAAAAGUAUCAAUAGUUAGGUAGUUAACCAUCCAUCACUGGCCUGAAGCAUAGUGAAAAAAUAUGGGGACCAAACCUGGAAAGUUCAGUCUACUGCAGGUGUAUGUAGUGCUUUCACAGGGUUGACGAAAGCGCUACAAAUGUACCAUGAAUUGGAAAAAGGAAAUGUGAUCCUGCAUCCUGAAUUUCUGGGUAGUUUCUAGCAUGUCUCACAAGUGUUCUGGACUACACUUAGAGAAUGUUCUGAAGCCUUCCCCAUAGACACCCUCAACAACUGCAGUCAAGUGAAAAUCCAUAAUUUGAUGAGGACGAUUCCAGUUUAAGAAAAGUCACAUUUGUGUCCUUUAGCAAUAUCAGGUGACCGAAAGGUUCAAAUUUUGAUCAGUUCAAGGUAUGAUCAGCCCCGAUGGCAGUGUUUCGACUAACUCAACUGACAAAACAUUACACUCCCUAUCAACAAGUAAAGGAUAUUCUGCAUUGAGAUCACCGUUACUUGAGCUUAGAUGAUUUGUGCUUCUUAUUAGGGUGUCACCCUUCCCAGUAUCAUACUAUGCCUUCUUCUCCAACAGAGCAGAUUCACAAUGAUAGGAUGGUCAACCUAAUACCGUAGCAGCAACUUGGUUCUAUUAUAAGUUUAAAUGGGUGAACAUGGUACUUUUCAAUAGCAGGGAUAGUCAAACUCAUUCAAAACAGUGGUGCUCGAAGGAAAAAGAUGGAGGUCAUCCAUAAUAUAGAGAAGAAACAUGGCUAUUUAUUAGAACACAUGCACCAUAUGGGCACUCUAAAGCGAGGAUUCAUUAGACACAAUCUACUCAAUCUAUAUAUACACUGUUAAUGCUAUACUACCUUGGUUGUCAACUAUAUACGCUACUACCUGCACAGUGGGUCGUCGUGGUCGUGCUUGAGCUCAGGCCGGAUACCUUGGUCACCCUAGGAGCAAACCCCUGCCCUUCCUCCUCAAGAAGAGCAGGGCCGAUGGCUAGAUGCACCCCUCCUCCUCCUCCUCGAGCUGGGCAAGGCCGACACCCUCCUGCCGUUGUCGCCAUCUCCACACCAUGUUAAC